GACGAACGCUGGCGGCGUGCUUAACACAUGCAAGUCGAACGGAAAGGCCCUGCUUUCGUGGGGUGCUCGAGUGGCGAACGGGUGCGUAACACGUGAGUAACCUGAUCUUGACUUUGGGAUAACUUCAGGAAACUGGGGCUAAUCCCGGAUAGGAGCUCCCGCUGCAUGGAGGGGGUGGGAAAGUUUCGGCGGUUGGGGAUGGACUCGCGGCUUAUCAGCUUGUUGGUGGGGUAGUGGCUUACCCAGGCUUUGACGGGUACCCGGCCUGUGAGGGUGACCGGCCACAUUGGGACUGAGAUACGGCCCAGACUCCUACGGGAGGCAGCAGUGGGGAAUAUUGCACAAUGGGCGGAAGCCGGAUGCAGCAACGCCGCGUGCGGGAUGACGGCCUUCGGGUUGUAAACCGCUUUCGCCUGUGACGAAGCGUGAGUGACGGUAAUGGGUAAAGAAGCACCGGCUAACUACGUG
RNAcentral lists this ribosomal RNA (468 nucleotides) under uncultured bacterium. RNAcentral describes it as "partial 16S ribosomal RNA". It matches the Rfam family "Bacterial small subunit ribosomal RNA", at positions 28 to 507 of the family's 1533-position model. The record is from RNAcentral.